UCUAAUACCGGAUAAUACCUGCCGAGGCAUCUUGGCGGGUUGAAAGCUCCGGCGGUGCAGGAUGAGCCCGCGGCCUAUCAGCUUGUUGGUGGGGUGAUGGCCUACCAAGGCGACGACGGG
RNAcentral lists this ribosomal RNA (120 nucleotides) under Streptomyces caespitosus. Its description in RNAcentral is "partial 16S rRNA". It matches the Rfam family "Bacterial small subunit ribosomal RNA", at positions 162 to 283 of the family's 1533-position model. RNAcentral also lists the same sequence under 1 other name. The record is from RNAcentral. Lineage: Bacteria; Bacillati; Actinomycetota; Actinomycetes; Kitasatosporales; Streptomycetaceae.